GUGCUCCCUUCAGCAGCACAUAUACUAAAAUUGGAAUGUUACAGAGAAGAUUUGCAUGACCUUGCACAAGGAUGGCAUGCAAAUUCAUGAAGCAUUCCAUGUAUUU
This is a small nuclear RNA of Ictidomys tridecemlineatus (thirteen-lined ground squirrel), 106 nucleotides long. The record is from Ensembl. NCBI's taxonomy places the organism in Eukaryota, Metazoa, Chordata, Mammalia, Rodentia, Sciuridae.